Molecule: ribosomal RNA, 450 nt
Filed under: uncultured bacterium
Lineage: Bacteria
Description: partial 16S ribosomal RNA
Rfam family: Bacterial small subunit ribosomal RNA
Source: RNAcentral
AGCGAACAUUGGCGGUAGGCUUAACACAUGCAAGUCGAGCGAGGCGUAAUAGUCGAGCGGCGAACGGGUGCGUAAUACAUGGGAAUCUACCUCGAAGUGGGGGAUAACGUCCAGAAAUGGACGCUAAUACCGCAUAAUCCAUAUUGGGAAAGCGUUGCAGCGCUUUGAGAUGAGCCCAUGGCUGAUUAGCGUGUUGGUGAGGUAACGGCGCACCAAGGCGACGAUCAGUAUCUGGUCUGAGAGGAUGACCAGCCACAUUGGAACUGAGACACGGUCCAGACUCCUACGGGAGGCAGCAGUGGGGAAUCUUGCGCAAUGGGGGCAACCCUGACGCAGCCAUACCGCGUGAGUGAUGAAGGUCUUCGGAUUGUAAAGCUCUUUCGGCGGGGACGACGAUGACGGUACCCGCAAAAGAAGUCACGGCUAACUUCGUGCCAGCCGCCGCAGUAA